UACGUAGGGGGCAAGCGUUGUCCGGAAUCAUUGGGCGUAAAGGGCGCGUAGGCGGAUAUUUAAGUCUGGUGUGAAAACCUAGGGCUCAACCCUGGGACUGCAUCGGAAACUGGGUAUCUUGAGGACAGGAGAGGAAAGUGGAAUUCCACGUGUAGCGGUGAAAUGCGUAGAUAUGUGGAGGAACACCAGUGGCGAAGGCGACUUUCUGGACUGUAACUGACGCUGAGGCGCGGAAGCGUGGGGAGCAAACAGG
RNAcentral lists this ribosomal RNA (253 nucleotides) under uncultured bacterium. RNAcentral's name for it is "partial 16S ribosomal RNA". It matches the Rfam family "Bacterial small subunit ribosomal RNA", at positions 524 to 776 of the family's 1533-position model. The record is from RNAcentral.